ACUUUAAAGGAUAGUAGCCA
Molecule: transfer RNA, 20 nt
Filed under: Gerrhonotus parvus
Lineage: Eukaryota; Metazoa; Chordata; Lepidosauria; Squamata; Anguidae
Description: partial tRNA-Leu
Source: RNAcentral